RNAcentral lists this ribosomal RNA (253 nucleotides) under uncultured bacterium. Its description in RNAcentral is "partial 16S ribosomal RNA". It matches the Rfam family "Bacterial small subunit ribosomal RNA", at positions 524 to 776 of the family's 1533-position model. The record is from RNAcentral.
UACGAAGGGGGCUAGCGUUGCUCGGAAUCACUGGGCGUAAAGCGCACGUAGGCGGCUAGUUAAGUCGGGGGUGAAAUCCUGGAGCUCAACUCCAGAACUGCCUUCGAUACUGGCGAUCUUGAGUCCGGGAGAGGUGAGUGGAACUCCGAGUGUAGAGGUGAAAUUCGUAGAUAUUCGGAAGAACACCAGUGGCGAAGGCGGCUCACUGGCCCGGUACUGACGCUGAGGUGCGAAAGCGUGGGGAGCAAACAGG